Molecule: ribosomal RNA, 506 nt
Filed under: uncultured bacterium
Lineage: Bacteria
Description: partial 16S ribosomal RNA
Rfam family: Bacterial small subunit ribosomal RNA
Source: RNAcentral
ACUCAAAGGAAUAGACGGGGGCUCACACAAGCGGUGGAGCAUGUUGCUUAAUUCGAAGCAACGCGAAGAACCUUACCCGGGUUUGACAUACACGGAUUAGUUGGCGGAAACGUCAAUGAGGCCCGCAAGGGUACAACGUGAACAGGUGCUGCAUGGCUGUCGUCAGCUCGUGCUGUGAAGUGUUUGGUUAAGUCCAUUAACGAGCGCAACCCUUGUCGUUAGUUGCUAACAGGUAAUGCUGAGGACUCUAACGAGACUGCCGGCGUCAAGCCGGAGGAAGGUGGGGAUGACGUCAAGUCCUCAUGGCCCUUACAUCCGGGGUUGCAAACGUGCUACAAUGGUGCGUACAGAGCGACGCAAGGCCGCAAGGCGGAGCAAAUCGCAAAAAACGCACCCCAGUUCGGAUUGAAGGCUGCAACCCGCCUUCAUGAAGUCGGAAUCGCUAGUAAUCGGAGAUCAGCUACGCUCCGGUGAAUACGUUCCUGAGCCUUGUACACACCGCCCGU